GAUGAAUGCUGGCGGCGUGUCUAAGGCAUGCAAGUCGUGCGGAUCGUUUUUUGUCGCAAGACGAGAAACGGUUAGCGGCAAACGGGUGCGUAACACAUUGGUAAUCUGCUUCACAGUCGGGCAUAAGCCCUCGAAAGGGGGUCUAAUUCCACGAUGGACAUGAGGGGACAUAUGUCAUUCUCAUGUAAAGUCGCAAGACGCUGUGAAAGGAACCUAUGACCUAUCAGCUUGUUGGCGGGGUAAUGGCCCACCAAGGCGAUGACGGGUAGGGGAUGUGAGAGCAUGAUCCCCCUCACUGGGACUGAGACACUGCCCAGACACCUACGGGUGGCUGCAGUCGAGAAUAUUCGGCAAUGGGCGAAAGCCUGACCGAGCGACGCCGCGUGCAGGACGAAGGGCUUCGGCUCGUAAACUGCUUUUACUCGGGAAGAAUUUUGACGGUACCGAGAGAAUAAGAGGUUGCUAACUCUGUGCCAGCAGC
Molecule: ribosomal RNA, 481 nt
Filed under: uncultured bacterium
Lineage: Bacteria
Description: bacterial SSU rRNA
Rfam family: Bacterial small subunit ribosomal RNA
Source: RNAcentral